AUUGAACGCUGGCGGCAGGCCUAACACAUGCAAGUCGAGCGAGCGGCGGACGGGUGAGUAAUGUAUGGGGAACUGCCCGAUAGAGGGGGAUAACUACUGGAAACGGUAGCUAAUACCGCAUACUAUCGGAUGUACCCAUAUGGGAUUAGCUAGUAGGUGGGGUAAAGGCUCACCUAGGCGACGAUCUCUAGCUGGUCUGAUAGGAUGAUCAGCCACACUGGGACUGAGACACAGCCCAGACUCCUACGGGGGGCAGAAGUGGGGAAUAUUGCACAAUGGGCGAAAGCCGGAUACAGCCAUGCCGCGGGUAUGAAGAAGGGCUUAGGGUUGUAAAGUACUUUCAGCGGGGAGGCGUGACCCGCAGAAGAAGAACAGGCUAACUCUGUGCCAGCAGCCGCGGUAAUAC
Molecule: ribosomal RNA, 406 nt
Filed under: uncultured bacterium
Lineage: Bacteria
Description: partial 16S ribosomal RNA
Rfam family: Bacterial small subunit ribosomal RNA
Source: RNAcentral